GACGAACGCUGGCGGCGUGCUUAACACAUGCAAGUCGAACGGAAAGGCCCUGCUUUUGUGGGGUGCUCGAGUGGCGAACGGGUGAGUAACACGUGAGUAACCUGCCCUUGACUUUGGGAUAACUUCAGGAAACUGGGGCUAAUACCGGAUAGGAGCUCCUGCUGCAUGGUGGGGGUUGGAAAGUUUCGGCGGUUGGGGAUGGACUCGCGGCUUAUCAGCUUGUUGGUGGGGUAGUGGCUUACCAAGGCUUUGACGGGUAGCCGGCCUGAGAGGGUGACCGGCCACAUUGGGAAUGAGAUACGGCCCAGACUCCUACGGGAGGCAGCAGGGGGGAAUAUUGCACAAUGGGCGGAAGCCUGAUGCAGAAACGCCGCGUGCGGGAUGACGGCCUUCGGGUUGUAAACCGCUUUCGCCUGUGACGAAGCGUGAGUGACGGGAAGGGGUAAAGAAGCACCGGCUAACUACG
RNAcentral lists this ribosomal RNA (466 nucleotides) under uncultured bacterium. Its description in RNAcentral is "partial 16S ribosomal RNA". It matches the Rfam family "Bacterial small subunit ribosomal RNA", at positions 28 to 505 of the family's 1533-position model. The record is from RNAcentral.